RNAcentral lists this ribosomal RNA (253 nucleotides) under uncultured bacterium. Its description in RNAcentral is "partial 16S ribosomal RNA". It matches the Rfam family "Bacterial small subunit ribosomal RNA", at positions 524 to 776 of the family's 1533-position model. The record is from RNAcentral.
UACGUAGGGUGCAAGCAUUAAUCGGAUUUAUUGGGCGUAAAGGGCGCGUAGGCGGUCGUGCAAGUCGGAUGUGAAAUCUCAGGGCUCAACCCUGAAACUGCAUUCGAUACUGCGCGGCUAGAGUGCUGGAGGGGAGACUGGAAUUUACGGUGUAGCAGUGAAAUGCGUAGAUAUCGUGAGGAAGACCAGUGGCGAAGGCGAGUCUCUGGACAGCAACUGACGCUGAGGCACGAAGGCCAGGGGAGCAAACGGG